Long non-coding RNA from Homo sapiens (human), 347 nucleotides. RefSeq lists it as uncharacterized. The transcript has 3 exons. NCBI's taxonomy places the organism in Eukaryota, Metazoa, Chordata, Mammalia, Primates, Hominidae. The record is from RefSeq and is a predicted model, not a curated record.
UGCCAUCUCAUCUGCAUCCUGGGAAGCAGGAAGGAGCACAGAGGAAAACACAAGCCUGCUCUGGCCAGCUCAGUGUGCUCCUUCCAGAAACAGCAGAAGCCAGGGCCAUGCCAUUGAACUUCUCAGCCAGCAGAACUGUGAGCUUGAUGAAUUACCCCAUCACAGAGGUUCUUUUAUGGCUACACAGAAUGGACUCAGACACCCAUGCUCACAGCCGUGCAGUCACAAUAGCCCAAAGGUGGAAACAACCCAGCAGCCUCGUGCCGAGUGAAGCCAGCCAGUCACAAUAGGACCAAUGCUGUGACCCCACAGAUGGAAGGCCCCCAGAGGAGUCAGAUUCAAGAGGA